UACGUAGGGAGCGAGCGUUGUCCGGAUUCAUUGGGCGUACAGAGCUCGUAGGCGGCUUGGCAAGUCGGGUGUGAAAACUCCAGGCUCAACCUGGAGACGCCACCCGAUACUGCCAUGGCUAGAGUCCGGUAGGGGACCACGGAAUUCCUGGUGUAGCGGUGAAAUGCGCAGAUAUCAGGAGGAACACCGGUGGCGAAGGCGGCUUGCUGGGCCAGUUCUGACGCUGAGGAGCGAAAGCGUGGGGAGCGAACAGG
Molecule: ribosomal RNA, 254 nt
Filed under: uncultured bacterium
Lineage: Bacteria
Description: partial 16S ribosomal RNA
Rfam family: Bacterial small subunit ribosomal RNA
Source: RNAcentral